UCUUAUUGAAAUUUUAUAAUAGGUUUGCCCUGCCCAAUGAAUUUGAUUUUUAAAUGGCCGCAGUAAAUUGACUGUGCAAAGGUAGCAUAAUAAUUUGUCUUUUAAUUGGAGACUGGAAUGAAAGGGUUGACGUGAAAGUGACUGUCUCUAUUUUUAUAGCUAUUGAAUUUUACUUUUAAGUUAAAAGGCUAAGUUUUUAAAUUUUAUUAAGGGACGAAAAGUCCCUAUCAAGUUUAAUAAAUUUUAUAUUUUAUAUUCAUUAUAUUUUAUAAAUUAUUAUUUUUCUGGGGCGGAAAGAAUAAUUUAACUUUUUUAAAUUUUUAAAUAAUUUAUAAAUUUAUUAUUGAUCUUUUUAUAUUGCUAAUUGUAUAAAUUACUGUAGGGGUAACAGCGUUAUUAUUUUAGGAAGUUCAUAUUUAUAAAAUAGAUUGCGACCUCGAUGUUGGGUUAAUUUUACCUUAUAAUGAAGAAGUUAUUUCGGUUAGUCUG
This 489-nucleotide ribosomal RNA is filed under the name Sericosura venticola. RNAcentral's name for it is "partial 16S ribosomal RNA". The stretch from base 1 to 153 matches the Rfam family "Eukaryotic large subunit ribosomal RNA", at positions 2170 to 2351 of the family's 3401-position model. The record is from RNAcentral. Lineage: Eukaryota; Metazoa; Arthropoda; Pycnogonida; Pantopoda; Ammotheidae.